RNAcentral lists this ribosomal RNA (301 nucleotides) under uncultured bacterium. RNAcentral's name for it is "partial 16S ribosomal RNA". It matches the Rfam family "Bacterial small subunit ribosomal RNA", at positions 509 to 807 of the family's 1533-position model. The record is from RNAcentral.
CAGUCGCCGCGGGAAUACGGAGGGUGCAAGCGUUAAUCGGAAUUACUGGGCGUAAAGCGCACGCAGGCGGUCUGACAAGUCAGAUGUGAAAUCCCCGGGCUUAACCUGGGAACUGCAUUUGAAACUGUCAGGCUGGAGUCUUGUAGAGGGGGGUGGAAUUCCAGGUGUAGCGGUGAAAUGCGUAGAGAUCUGGAGGAAUACCGGUGGCGAAGGCGGCCCCCUGGACAAAGACUGACGCUCAGGUGCGAAAGCGUGGGGAGCAAACAGGAUUAGAUACCCCGGUAGUCCCUGUCUCUUAUAC